GCUGAUGGAUAGCUCAGUUGGUAGAGCGUGAGACUCUCAAUCUCAAGUAUCGUGGGUUUGAGUCCCAUGUUGGGCA
Molecule: non-coding RNA, 76 nt
Organism: Zootoca vivipara (common lizard)
Lineage: Eukaryota; Metazoa; Chordata; Lepidosauria; Squamata; Lacertidae
Source: the annotation of a RefSeq genome assembly